Molecule: long non-coding RNA, 1536 nt
Organism: Ornithodoros turicata
Lineage: Eukaryota; Metazoa; Arthropoda; Arachnida; Ixodida; Argasidae
Exons: 3
Source: RefSeq, a predicted model, not a curated record
UUGUAGGUGCGAAGUGUUUCUCCAUCUUCGUCUUCUGCUGCCGCGGAGCCCCUCGACGUUUGGGUUUCUGCUCAUGUGUCGUCUGCUUUCGAAGAACUCCUGUUUUUUUCGGUUUCUGCUCACAUUUUCGACGUUUCAGUUUCGGUUUCUUCGCGGCUCUUGUACAUCGCACACAGUCAAGGCCGCUUUCGACAUAUGCAGAGAUAAGUGACGAAGUUGAUUGUACUCAUACCCGCGAGCACCCAAAUUUUGCACCUGGCUUUUCAAGGUUUCAGUGUUGUUCCUAUUCGCCUCCGUGGCCGCACUAACCGAAGCGUAUUCGAGCUACCGUCCCUACUCCAGCUUCCACCCCAUACCCAGCACUGGUCAGCGCUACUAUCCUGUCGUUAUCCAGACUGUGCCAGCGGGGUCCUACCCGCAAGUAAUCGACUACUACCCACCGCAAGUGGAGGUCAUAUAUCCGGUGUACCCACCGCAGGUCGUACCGCAGCAAAUCGUUCCAGGUCAGCGAGUCGUGACACAGCAAGUAAUCCCUGGUCGUCAAGUGGUACGCCAACCUACGAGGCCGCCGACGAUCGUGGUACCCCGCGACAGACUCGUGCGCCCGGAGGACGUGUUCCGGAGAGAUCGCUGGGGGUCAGUGGUGCCACAGAGACAGGUCAUCAGACCAGAUGUCCAGGAAGGCAGGAUAAGAUAAUCACGGCAAAUACACGCGGAUCUGAUGCCUGCUCCAAUGGCUGCCAGGCAUUUGCCUCGCCUUCUGGCUGCGCAGACAACCAUAAGGUGUCUGAUGCAUUGUACACUAUCUGUUGUAGCAUUACGCGAGCACCGCCUUAACUGCGUUCAACGCUUUACUUUGUCACUACGUCUGUGUCCGCGUUCUACUGCACACUCUAAGAAAAAAAGGAGUAAAACGGGGAGUAAUUGCAGCUUCUACUCCCCUAGUCUGCAAUUACUCCCCAUUUUAGUCCCCUAACCCAACAUUUAGUCCCGACGUUUACUCCCGAGGACUGCAAAUUGUCACUGAACUUCGCGAAUGGUCUCCUGAAUGGAAAAGUCUGCGUAAAUAUGUGCCCUUGCUCAAUUUGAACGACAUAAGGGUGUAUAACUCACACAACGUAGCAAUUUUCCAGCCACACAGAGUAAGAAACAGUUAGCGCAUCUUUCUUCGCAAAUUGUGCCCUAAUAUGGCGCAAGAUUUUGUAUCACUCGAUAUAUCACGGUUGACGGUUUGCUUCAAAGUAACUUCAUGCAUGCGCACCAAUUAUGUACCUGGGACUCUUACAACAGCGCGUGAAAUGCGGUCACUCUGUGACAUUCAUUUACUCCCGUGCAUUUACUCUCGAAAGGGACUAUUUUUGUGGCAAUGCAAUUACUCCCCAAACGGAGUAAAAGUACUCCUUUUUUUCUUAGAGUGUGCCAGUGCAGAGCUAACGUGAACUCCCACCGAAACACUGUUCUCAAAUGGUCGCCCUUCAUAUAAGGAACACUUGCAAGGUUAAUAAAAUGAUAAAUACUAUAAAUAAACGAUGCGUA